CACGUAGUUAGCCGGGGCUUCUUAGUCAGGUACCGUCAUUUUCUUCCCUGCUGAUAGAGCUUUACAUACCGAAAUACUUCCUCACUCACGCGGCGUCGCUGCAUCAGGGUUUCCCCCAUUGUGCAAUAUUCCCCACUGCUGCCUCCCGUAGGAGUUUGGGCCGUGUCUCAGUCCCAAUGUGGCCGGUCGCCCUCUCAGGUCGGCUACUGAUCGUCGGCUUGGUAGGCUUCUACCCCACCAACUACCUAAUCAGACGCGGGCCCAUCUUACACCACCUCAGUUUUUACCACUGUACCAUGCAGUACCGUGGUCUUAUGCGGUAUUAGCAAUCAUUUCUAAUUGUUAUCCCCCUGUGUAAGGCAGGUUGCCCACGCGUUACUCACCCGUCCGCCGCUAAGUCACCCUCUCUUCCCUCCGAAGAGUUCUAAAAAGUGCUUCGCUCGACUUGCAUGUGUUAAGCACGCCGCCAGCGUUCAUCCUGAGCCAGGAUCAAACUCU
This 498-nucleotide ribosomal RNA is filed under the name uncultured Lachnospiraceae bacterium. RNAcentral describes it as "partial 16S ribosomal RNA". Lineage: Bacteria; Bacillati; Bacillota; Clostridia; Lachnospirales; Lachnospiraceae. The record is from RNAcentral.